This 1874-nucleotide long non-coding RNA is filed under the name Brassica rapa (field mustard). Its description in RNAcentral is "long non-coding RNA (BRAP_LNC003481)". The record is from RNAcentral. Lineage: Eukaryota; Viridiplantae; Streptophyta; Magnoliopsida; Brassicales; Brassicaceae.
AAAGAAGAUGUAAUUGUAACCAACGGAAUGGGGAGAGUGGUGAUAGCGACAGUAUUGUCUCCCAUUUAGAUCAAUGUUUUAAGAACUAGACCAGAAAAAAUAGAGUCAAGAACAUAUACCCGAUGGUUGAUCUAUUGUGUUGGACUAGUCCAAUAAUAUUGCCACUGACCUCGAUCAAACUGUAACGUGUAAAAGACAUACCAAAGUAGUCCAAACUGUAACGUGUAAAGACAUGGGAAAUAUAACAAGUUCUUUUGGUCUCUAAGCGGCAUGUCUUACUAUGAGAGUGGAACAGGAUAGAUCUGCGUGAGCAUCUCAUAAAGAUGUCUAGCAUAACAACGACGGGCUAGCAAAAACAGGUUUUUUUUUUUUUUUUUUGAACACACAGGUUAUUCUUUUUUAUCUGACCAUAUCGUGUUUACGGAUCUUUAAUAUAUACCUUUGUCCCAGACUCUUCCGCUAUAUCAAUAAAUCCUCCCAUAUAUGUAAUCAUUUAUCAAACGAGAGACGUGUGGUUUGGCCAUUAGAGCAAUUUUAUUGGGAAAAUUUUAUAUAUUGGUAUUUCACACAAAAAUGGAUGGAUAUUGCAAACGAGAUAUUUUGAGAUAUUUUCAAAUGUGAUUUUCAAUAUUGGAAUUUUUAUAUUAUUGUUUCUUUUAUUCUGUCAUAAAAUAUCCUCAUGUAACAAUUUUAUAUUGCAGCUUAGAUCCAAACUUGUAUCGGUUAAGUUUACCAAAAAAAAAAAAAAACUUGUAUCGGUUAAAUAUUGGCUAUGCUAAUAUUUCUCAAAGAAUAUUAAAAGAAAUGUACGAUAAAGGAAUGGUAUCAAGGUGUGAUAUGUAAGAGUCUUGUUUGGCUUUUUUAUGUGUUUACCCCUGGGAUGAACCUGUGUUUAGGGCUAUAUUUAUAGAUUUAUUCUUGGGUUCACCCCUAGGUAAACCUGUAGGUUCACUAACCAAUAGGAUUGUGUCCUUUUAGAUUCAGUAUCUUUUAAAAUAAGAAACAAAAUAUUAUCGAAUUAUAUUAUAUUUUUAAAAUAAAAAUUAUAUUAAUCACAAAAAUAAGAUUUUUUAAUCGCAAAAAAAAAAGAAUUUGUUUCUCAAAAGUAUUUUUAACGCUGCCAACAAAUAUUAAACCCUAAACUCUUGAAUAAAUCAUAAAUCUUAAAGUUUAAGAUUUGAUCCAAGAGUUUCGGAUUUAUCCAAGGGUUUAGGGUUUACCCAAGGGUUUAGGGUUUACCCAAGGGUUUAGGGUUUAGGAUUAUGAUUUAGGGUUUAGUGUUUUGUUGAUUGUGUUAAAAAUAUUUUUUUUUAAAAAUUCAAGAAUUUAAAAUUUACCAAAGGGUUUAGGGUUUAGAUUUAGCGUUUAGUGUUUUGUUUAUAGUAUUAAUUUUUUUUUGAAAACUUUUUUUUGCAACUACUAUUAUUUUUAUUUAUUUGUAUUUUUUUAAUUUUAAAAACGUAAUAUAAUUUGACAAUAUUUUGUUUCCUUUUUUAAAAGAUAUCGGAUUUGAAAUAACUAAAUCUUAUUGGUUAGUGAACCUAUAGGUUCACCCUAGAGGGUGAAUCCAAGAAUAACUCAUAUUUAUAUUACGAUAUGUACGAUAUAAAAUUUUUAUAUUAAUUCUAGGGUUUAGGGCUUAGGGCUUAGGGUUUAGGGAUUAAGGUUUAGGGUUUAGAAUUUUGAUGAUGAUGUUUUGGGUUUAGAGUUAAAGGUUUUAGGGUUUUGUUUACAAUGUUAACAACUUCAAAGUUUUUUCGGCAAUUAAUAUUAUCUUAUGAUUAUUUCUUUUCUUUUUUUCAUAAACAGAAUAUGAUUUGACAAAUUUUUAUUGUUUAUUAUUUUUUGGUAGAUAAUAAUAUUUUAGUUUUUUU